UAGGGAAUUUUCGGCAAUGGACGAAAGGCUGACCGAGCAACGCCGCGUGAGGGAAGAAGGUUUUCGGAUCGGAAAACUCUGUUGUUAGAGAAGAACAAGGACGUUAGUAACUGAACGUCCCCUGACGGUAUCUAACCAGAAAGCCACGGCUAACUACGUGCCAGCAGCCGCGGUAAUACGUAGGUGGCAAGCGUUGUCCGGAUUUAUUGGGCGUAAAGCGAGCGCAGGCGGUUUCUUAAGUCUGAUGUGAAAGCCCCCGGCUCAACCGGGGAGGGUCAUUGGAAACUGGGAGACUUGAGUGCAGAAGAGGAGAGUGGAAUUCCAUGUGUAGCGGUGAAAUGCGUAGUUAUAUGGAGGAACACCAGUGGCGAGGGCGGCUCUCUGGUCUGUAACUGACGCUGAGGCUCGAAAGCGUGGGGAGCAAACAGG
RNAcentral lists this ribosomal RNA (429 nucleotides) under Chloroflexota bacterium. RNAcentral describes it as "Chloroflexi bacterium partial 16S ribosomal RNA". It matches the Rfam family "Bacterial small subunit ribosomal RNA", at positions 355 to 776 of the family's 1533-position model. The record is from RNAcentral. Lineage: Bacteria; Bacillati; Chloroflexota.